AGUGAACUUCGUUUGCAGUGAAAAUCCUUUUAAGGCUUUUUCUGCCUCAAAAAGAUUGUAGCGUAAAAGCCCAACCCUUG
RNAcentral lists this small RNA (80 nucleotides) under Flavobacterium succinicans. RNAcentral describes it as "Flavo-1 RNA". Lineage: Bacteria; Pseudomonadati; Bacteroidota; Flavobacteriia; Flavobacteriales; Flavobacteriaceae. The record is from RNAcentral.